Molecule: non-coding RNA, 128 nt
Filed under: Intrasporangium oryzae
Lineage: Bacteria; Bacillati; Actinomycetota; Actinomycetes; Micrococcales; Intrasporangiaceae
Also listed under: 1 other name
Description: SAM-IV sequence
Rfam family: SAM (S-adenosyl methionine) riboswitch aptamer
About the family: SAM-IV is a mRNA element that regulates gene expression via direct sensing of S-adenosylmethionine (SAM or AdoMet). SAM-IV riboswitches share conserved nucleotide positions with the previously described SAM-I riboswitches sequence analysis and molecular recognition experiments suggest that SAM-I and SAM-IV riboswitches share similar ligand binding sites, but have different scaffolds.
Source: RNAcentral
GGUCAUGAGUGCCAGUGACAAGCCCCGGCUCGCUGGUCAGCAACCCUCCUCCGCGGUGGGGUGCUCCGGGUGACGACCUGGCCGAUCCCCGACGCGUUCGUGACGUCGAGGCCCGGCAAGCGCGGACC